GGACGGGUGAGUAAUGCCUAGGAAAUUGCCUUGAUGUGGGGGAUAACCAUUGGAAACGAUGGCUAAUACCGCAUAAUGCCUACGGGCCAAAGAGGGGGACCUUCGGNCCUCUCGCGUCAAGAUAUGCCUAGGUGGGAUUAGCUAGUUGGUGAGGUAAUGGCUCACCAAGGCGACGAUCCCUAGCUGGUCUGAGAGGAUGAUCAGCCACACUGGAACUGAGACACGGUCCAGACUCCUACGGGAGGCAGCAGUGGGGAAUAUUGCACAAUGGGCGAAAGCCUGAUGCAGCCAUGCCGCGUGUAUGAAGAAGGCCUUCGGGUUGUAAAGUACUUUCAGUUGUGAGGAAGGGUGUGUAGUUAAUAGCUGCGCAUCUUGACGUUAGCAACAGAAGAAGCACCGGCUAACUCCGUGCCAGCAGCCGCGGUAAUACGGAGGGUGCGAGCGUUAAUCGGAAUUACUGGGCGUAAAGCGCAUGCAGGUGGUUCAUUAAGUCAGAUGUGAAAGCCCGGGGCUCAACCUCGGAACUGCNUUUGAAACUGGUGAACUAGAGUGCUGUAGAGGGGGGUAGAAUUUCAGGUGUAGCGGUGAANUGCGUANAGAUCUGAAGGAAUACCAGUGGCGAAGGCGGCCCCC
Molecule: ribosomal RNA, 633 nt
Filed under: Vibrio sp. HR05-23
Lineage: Bacteria; Pseudomonadati; Pseudomonadota; Gammaproteobacteria; Vibrionales; Vibrionaceae
Description: bacterial SSU rRNA
Rfam family: Bacterial small subunit ribosomal RNA
Source: RNAcentral